UGGGGGAUCGUCUAACGGCAGGACAACAGCCUUUGGAGCUGUCUAUCGGGGUUCGAAUCCCUGUCCCCCAG
Molecule: transfer RNA, 71 nt
Filed under: Chloroflexota bacterium
Lineage: Bacteria; Bacillati; Chloroflexota
Description: tRNA-Gln
Rfam family: tRNA
About the family: Transfer RNA (tRNA) molecules are approximately 80 nucleotides in length.
Source: RNAcentral